RNAcentral lists this ribosomal RNA (468 nucleotides) under uncultured bacterium. RNAcentral describes it as "partial 16S ribosomal RNA". It matches the Rfam family "Bacterial small subunit ribosomal RNA", at positions 28 to 507 of the family's 1533-position model. The record is from RNAcentral.
GACGAACGCUGGCGGCGUGCUUAACACAUGCAAGUCGAACGGAAAGGCCCUGCUUUUGUGGGGUGCUCGAGUGGCGAACGGGUGAGUAACACGUGAGUAACCUGCCCUUGACUUUGGGAUAACUUCAGGAAACUGGGGCUAAUACCGGAUAGGAGCUCCUGCUGCAUGGUGGGGGUUGGAAAGUUUCGGCGGUUGGGGAUGGACUCGCGGCUUAUCAGCUUGUUGGUGGGGUAGUGGCUUACCAAGGCUUUGACGGGUAGCCGGCCUGAGAGGGUGACCGGCCACAUUGGGACUGAGAUACGGCCCAGAAUCCUACGGGAGGCAGCAGUGGGGAAUAUUGCACAAUGGGCGGAAGCCUGAUGCAGCAACGCCGCGUGCGGGAUGACGGCCUUCGGGUUGUAAACCGCUUUCGCCGGUGACGAAGCGUGAGUGACGGUAAUGGGUAAAGAAGCACCGGCUAACUACGUG